UAGCUAACACCAAAAGGGAAGUAAAACAGGAGGUACCAACUCCCGAUAACAAAACCUGUGGCUGAUUUGUUGUGCUCGAUGUAGUUGUAUGCUCCUGCCCACUUCCUACCACCCUUGCUGACACUCGCCCAGGUUGCUCUCCUUAGCCAGUGCUCGCGCGCCCAACUUGUCUCCAAUACUCCGAGAAUUCCUGAAAACACAGAAAAUACCACGACCCAAAAAUCAGAAGGAGCUAUCGCCGCUACCACUUUUGCGGUGCAGUGAACUUAAGGCACAGGUCUCGGCUCAGCGAAUCGGCGAGCAAACACGAAAAGAUUUCUGCUCUUUUAUGCCUCAAGUCCGAACGGAACGAAAAAGAAAUUUGAAGAAAGCUUGGGUUUCAAAAUGUUUGCGACCAGUGGUAUUUGAGGGAAAGGAUGCAGCUGAAGUUUAAGGUUAAAGGAGGGAGUUCAAGAUUGUCUGAAAUAGCAUCCAAACGCCGGUAUUUAUAGGUGUAAAAUUAGGGUUCUUAGUUUUGGGCCAAAACUUUAUUUUUUCCUUAAAACUCCCCGGCCAAACAAGUUCACAUCACACCAAAACGGCGGAUCUCCCGAUCUAAAAAAUCAAAUCAGUCGCAAAUCACCCCAUUUUUUUCCCCAUCUCCACGCUACAUAGCCCUCCGCCCAGACCAAGAAGCACAGACGCCGGUCACCACCAUCUCGCCGAAAUUCGACAACGCCCUUCUGCCGAGAACUAAGCCAUCAACGAAUGAAUCCGUGAUUUGCUGCUGCUAUUACUCCCCUGUUGCUAGCUGAGCUCCAAUCCUCUUUUCAAGCCUUCAUUUGGUUUCAUUGCCUUCUAAAUCUCGGCCUUUGUUAAUUAGAACUGGUUCUUGCGCAACUAGCUAUUGGAAUCGUUUUGAGCUUCAUUCGAAUUUGUAUUUGCCUCGAUUUGGUUCGUUCAUUUCAGUUAUCUCAUUGUGUAAUUAUCGCUGUGGAAAUUGUUGCUGGAGUUACAUUUGCUGAUUCUACCAUAUUUGAGCUUAUUUCAGUGUUUCACUUUCAAUAGGUACACAAAAGGAUGAUCUUUUUUGGUCCAAUAUUUUCCUUUUGUACAAUUCUCUUCAAGUAUUGUGGAGCGAAAGCAAUUAGUUUUCAUAAUUUGAAUGUCGAAUCAAAGCAAUUAGUUUUUGAAGUCCUACUGGAAAAGGUGAAAUUUCACAUUGUGCUUUGUCAAUGAUAUUACAUAUACAGGAUCAUAAUGAUUUUGAUGCCAAUAGAAAUUGUCCCCUGCUUCACUAUACAGUCACAAGUGCAAAGUGGCAAGCUCUUUUGUCCACAUUCAAGAAAGUUGAGCUUUCAAUCAGUCAGCCUAAUUUUGCAAUAUAUAUUUUGUGCAAUCUUAUGUUUUUGCUGUUGGGCUGUUUGAUUUUCCUUUGCCUUUUUCUUGUAACUUGUUCUGAUUUACGUUGAAGAGCAUAUAUAGUAGAUGAAACAAUUGAGCGCUGUAUCACAUAUCCAUCCUAAACUAAAUAUAGUUGCUUAAUUAGCAGAGCUUCACUUCA
Molecule: long non-coding RNA, 1543 nt
Organism: Nicotiana tabacum (common tobacco)
Lineage: Eukaryota; Viridiplantae; Streptophyta; Magnoliopsida; Solanales; Solanaceae
Source: RefSeq, a predicted model, not a curated record